This 253-nucleotide ribosomal RNA is filed under the name uncultured bacterium. RNAcentral's name for it is "partial 16S ribosomal RNA". It matches the Rfam family "Bacterial small subunit ribosomal RNA", at positions 524 to 776 of the family's 1533-position model. The record is from RNAcentral.
UACGUAGGGUGCAAGCGUUGUCCGGAAUUAUUGGGCGUAAAGAGCUCGUAGGCGGUUUGUCGCGUCUGCUGUGAAAUCCCGAGGCUCAACCUCGGGUCUGCAGUGGGUACGGGCAGACUAGAGUGUGGUAGGGGAGAUUGGAAUCCUGGUGUAGCGGUGGAAUGCGCAGAUAUCAGGAGGAACACCGAUGGGCGAAGGCAGAUCUCUGGGCCAUUACUGACGCUGAGGAGCGAAAGCAUGGGGAGCGAACAGG